GAUCAACGCUGGCGGCGUGCCUAAUACAUGCAAGUCGAGCGAACAGACGAGGAGCUUGCUCCUCUGACGUUAGCGGCGGACGGGUGAGUAACACGUGGAUAACCUACCUAUAAGACUGGGAUAACUUCGGGAAACCGGAGCUAAUACCGGAUAAUAUAUUGAACCGCAUGGUUCAAUAGUGAAAGACGGUUUUGCUGUCACUUAUAGAUGGAUCCGCGCCGCAUUAGCUAGUUGGUAAGGUAACAGCUUACCAAGGCAACGAUGCGUAGCCGACCUGAGAGGGUGAUCGGCCACACUGGAACUGAGACACGGUCCAGACUCCUACGGGAGGCAGCAGUAGGGAAUCUUCCGCAAUGGGCGAAAGCCUGACGGAGCAACGCCGCGUGAGUGAUGAAGGUCUUCGGAUCGUAAAACUCUGUUAUUAGGGAAGAACAAAUGUGUAAGUAACUAUGCACGUCUUGACGGUACCUAAUCAGAAAGCCACGGCUAACUACGUG
This 497-nucleotide ribosomal RNA is filed under the name uncultured bacterium. RNAcentral describes it as "partial 16S ribosomal RNA". It matches the Rfam family "Bacterial small subunit ribosomal RNA", at positions 28 to 507 of the family's 1533-position model. The record is from RNAcentral.